Molecule: ribosomal RNA, 465 nt
Filed under: Vreelandella stevensii
Lineage: Bacteria; Pseudomonadati; Pseudomonadota; Gammaproteobacteria; Oceanospirillales; Halomonadaceae
Description: partial 16S ribosomal RNA
Rfam family: Bacterial small subunit ribosomal RNA
Source: RNAcentral
CCUACGGGGUGCAGCAGUGGGGAAUAUUGGACAAUGGGCGAAAGCCUGAUCCAGCCAUGCCGCGUGUGUGAAGAAGGCCUUCGGGUUGUAAAGCACUUUCAGUGGGGAAGAAAGCCUUGGGGCUAAUACCCUCGAGGAAGGACAUCACCCACAGAAGAAGCAUCGGCUAACUCCGUGCCAGCAGCCGCGGUAAUACGGAGGGUGCGAGCGUUAAUCGGAAUUACUGGGCGUAAAGCGCGCGUAGGCGGUCUGAUAAGCCGGUUGUGAAAGCCCCGGGCUCAACCUGGGAACGGCAUCCGGAACUGUCAGGCUAGAGUGCAGGAGAGGAAGGUAGAAUUCCCGGUGUAGCGGUGAAAUGCGUAGAGAUCGGGAGGAAUACCAGUGGCGAAGGCGGCCUUCUGGACUGACACUGACGCUGAGGUGCGAAAGCGUGGGUAGCAAACAGGAUUAGAUACCCCAGUAGUC